UACGGAGGGUGCAAACGUUGCUCGGAAUCAUUGGGCGUAAAGCGCACGUAGGCGGCUCGUUAAGUCGGAUGUGAAAGCCCCGGGCUCAACCCGGGAAGUGCAUUCGAAACUGGCGAGCUUGAAUAUGGAAGAGGGUCGCGGAAUUCCCGGUGUAGAGGUGAAAUUCGUAGAUAUCGGGAGGAACACCAGUGGCGAAGGCGGCGACCUGGGCCAAUAUUGACGCUGAGGUGCGAAAGCGUGGGGAGCAAACAGG
Molecule: ribosomal RNA, 253 nt
Filed under: uncultured bacterium
Lineage: Bacteria
Description: partial 16S ribosomal RNA
Rfam family: Bacterial small subunit ribosomal RNA
Source: RNAcentral